This 484-nucleotide ribosomal RNA is filed under the name uncultured bacterium. RNAcentral's name for it is "SSU rRNA". It matches the Rfam family "Bacterial small subunit ribosomal RNA", at positions 26 to 518 of the family's 1533-position model. The record is from RNAcentral.
AGGACGAACGCUGGCGGCGUGCCUAACACAUGCAAGUCGAACGAGGUCCAACCGGUAGCAAUACCGGUGAAGACCAAGUGGCGAACGGGUGAGUAGCACGUGAGCAACCUGCCCCGAAGACCGGGACAACACCGGGAAACCGGUGCUAAUACCGGAUAUCCCCACUGAGUCGCAUGGCUCGGUGAGGAAAUGGAUUCCGCUUCGGGAGGGGCUCGCGGCCUAUCAGCUUGUUGGUGAGGUAACGGCUCACCAAGGCUUCGACGGGUAGCUGGUCUGAGAGGACGAUCAGCCACACUGGGACUGAGACACGGCCCAGACUCCUACGGGAGGCAGCAGUGGGGAAUCUUGCACAAUGGGCGCAAGCCUGAUGCAGCAACGCCGCGUGAGGGACGAAGGCUUUCUGAGUUGUAAACCUCUUUCAGCAGGGACGAGUUGUGACGGUACCUGCAGAAGAACGCCCGGCAACGUACGUGCCAGCAGCCGC